Molecule: unclassified non-coding RNA, 2311 nt
Organism: Orbicella faveolata
Lineage: Eukaryota; Metazoa; Cnidaria; Anthozoa; Scleractinia; Merulinidae
Source: RefSeq, a predicted model, not a curated record
GGGAUAUUCUUCCCUGACUCGUGUGCGAAGCUGACAAGAUGUCGAUGCUCUCGGCGGCCGCGUUGUUGGAUGAGUUAAUGGGGGUCGAUAGAAAUCGAGCCCCCAAUGAAAAAAAGACUGCAUUGCAUUGGUCAGAUCCUCAGGUUUGCAAACACUUCCUUUGUGGAUUCUGCCCAUCUCAGCUUUUUGUCAAUACAAGAUCUGACCUGGGACCUUGUGAAAAGGCACACGAUGAAAGAUUGAGAAAAGAAUAUGAGGCAAGUAGUCGCUACAAAAAAAUGAGAUAUGAAGAAGAAUUUUUGAGGUAUCUCCAAAACAUUAUGGCUGACGUUGACAGACGAAUAAGAAGAGGGCAUGCCAGACUCAAUCUCAGCCGUGCCGAAGAAGAGAAGGAGUUGGCAAGUGGUAAGCCAGACAGUGAAAAAUUCAAAAUGCUUACUGAAAAGAUCAACUCAUUGCUAGAACAGGUUGAACAACUGGGCUGUGAAGGAAAGGUAGAAGAAGCUCAGGGUGUUAUGAAGUUGUGUGAUCAGCUGAAAAAUGAGCGAGAAAUGCUACAGAUGCAAUCACGUGAUCUCAAUUUGAUGUCUGCUCAAGAAAAGCAGAUGGAAGUUUGUGAAGUUUGUGGUGCCUUUCUUAUCAUUGGUGAUGCACAGACGCGUGUAGAUGAUCACUUGCAAGGGAAGCAGCAUAUGGGUUAUGCCAAGAUCAAGAGUACUAUUGAGGAACUUAAGCAAAAGCGAAGUGAGAAAUCUCGUUCAAAAUCCAGAGACAUUGUGGAGAAAGAUGCAGAUGGUGAUAAAAAGCUGGAUAGGGAUUCAGAACGAAGCCGUGACAGUGACCGUGACCGCAGGAAAGACCGUGAUAGAGAUCGUGACCGCAGGAGGGAUCGUGACAGGGACCGUGAACGUGACAGAGACCGUAAUCGUGAUAGGGACCGUGAUCGUCGAAGGGAUCGUGACAGAGAUCGUGAUCGUGACAGAGACCGUGAUCGUGACAGGGAUCGUGAUCGGGACAGGGAUCGUGAUCGGGACAGGGACCGUGACCGCGAUCGUGACAGGGACCGUGACCGUGAAAAGGACCGUGAUCGGGAUAGAGACCGCCGUCGCGAUAAGGACCGUGAUCGCGACAGGGAACGAGAUCGAGACAGAGAUCGGGAACGAUCAAAAGAGAAGGAGAGGCGGCGAGACAAGGAUGACAAAAAAGACAGAAGUGAAGACAGAAACGACGAAAAGGACAGUGACAAUGACUUGGAAGACGAGAAAAAAGCUGCAGUCGACAAGAUGGCUGAAGAAAAAGAAGGCUCGGAUAGGGAGGAGAAAGAUAAGUCCGUCAGGUCUCGUAGCAGGUGAGUGUUCACUCUUGAGGUCAUAUCAUAAUUAUGUGACGAGGAAUGAUGAUAUCGCUGAUAGCAAGGUUUGUUUCAAACUCUGUAAGACGUUUUUGUGGUAAGGGUAGCGAGUCUGGCUGUUUAUGUGCCGUGAGCUGUCAGUAAACAGCUCGGUGACCAUGUCUAUCAUGGCGUAUAUUGGAGGAUCGCAACCUAAGCAGCAUUCAAAGCUACAUCACAGCAGAACGGAACAACAAAGAUUGAGGUACCUCAUUCUGUUUUGAUUAUUCAAUUUCACUCUCCUCAAUUCAUUGUUUGUGCUGAGUGAUGGCAGCAGAUAUCAGCCGGCAGUCGCCAAGAUAACUGGAAACGCAAGGUACACGUUCAAAGAUUUCCACAUUGUUCUUUGUGUUAUGUUGAAUAUUGCUUUCAAUCAAGCUCAUCAACCAAGGAUCUACCUGUAAGGUAAUUUUUGAUGUUUUUGAAAAUAAAAUUGUCGUCUUCUUCCUCAUGCUGAGGUGAAAUCGAAUUAAAACUUUGACCGUCACUAAAAAGGAUCAACCUUCGGACAAGUGUCGUUUUCGCCUCUCAAAUCGAGUGGCAAACGUUGCAAUUUAAGACAUACUUUCUUUUGUCCAUCGAGACAAACGUUUCUGUAAAAGGCCAUGGAAAGUGGAGCCGUCGCCACAGCACCGGAAUUCAAGGUACCCGAUUGUUGUCGCUUUCUGUGUCGAUUUUGGUCAGGCUUCAGUUUAUCGUAUUAAACCAACUUACGUUUCCAGUGAAUCAGUCAGUAUCCUGUUACAAGGAGAUCAAUUGUUUCAUUGGCCGCUCUCAACAGGCGGAACAGCCUCUCAGGUAGCCUUGUGUGAAAAAGUCGUCAACUUGUAAGAGGUCACGUGAGAAAGACGACGGACGUGAAAAUACUGAGUCCUCGCCCCGCAAGAGCAGAUCACGAUCCAGGUCCCCAUUGUAGUGCAC